CCUACGGGAGGCUGCAGUCGAGAAUUUUUCUCAAUGGGGGAAACCCUGAAGGAGCGACGCCGCGUAGAGGAUGAAGGUCUUCGGGUUGUAAACUCCUGUCAUUUGGGAACAAUGCGCAAAUAUUAACUGUAUUUGCGUUGAUAGUACCAGAAGAGGAAGGGACGGCUAACUCUGUGCCAGCAGCCGCGGUAAUACAGAGGUCCCAAGCGUUGUUCGGAUUCAUUGGGCGUAAAGGGUGCGUAGGCGGCGCGGUAAGUCGGGUGUGAAAUCUCGGGGCUUAACUCCGAAACUGCAUUCGAUACUGCCGUGCUUGAGGACUGGAGAGGAGACUGGAAUUUACGGUGUAGCGGUGAAAUGCGUAGAUAUCGUAAGGAAGACCAGUGGCGAAGGCGGGUCUCUGGACAGUUCCUGACGCUGAGGCACGAAGGCCAGGGGAGCAA
This 440-nucleotide ribosomal RNA is filed under the name uncultured bacterium. RNAcentral's name for it is "bacterial SSU rRNA". It matches the Rfam family "Bacterial small subunit ribosomal RNA", at positions 338 to 771 of the family's 1533-position model. The record is from RNAcentral.